UUCGGUGGUCAUAGCGUGAGGGAAACGCCCGGUCUCAUUCCGAACCCGGAAGCUAAGCCUUUCAGCGCCGAUGGUACUGCAUGCGGGAGCGUGUGGGAGAGUAGGACACCGCCGAAC
This 117-nucleotide ribosomal RNA is filed under the name Streptomyces iconiensis. Lineage: Bacteria; Bacillati; Actinomycetota; Actinomycetes; Kitasatosporales; Streptomycetaceae. The record is from RNAcentral.